AGUGAAAAUAAGCUUAGCGCCCCCUCGCGGCCCAAGUGCGCAUAUGCAUUUAACGUUGUUGUGCUGCAAUCUCUACAGGGGCGAUGAAAAAAUCUUUGGCGAAUGUUGUGGCAUCUGGCGCUGACACGACCAACUCUCUCUGUCUGUCCCCAACAGUUUAUUUAUUUCGCAAGAAUUCCGUGGAGGAAACAUUUUUUUCCAUGUUUAAAGUCUUGCUUGGUGAUGGAAUGAGUCAUUUUCUGAAGCAAUGAGAUGGAAGGAACCUUCAUAGCAUCCAACAAACAAGGAUUUCUAUGAGGCAUUGUGUUUUCCACAUUGCAGACCUCUGUAUCACCAACUUAAAUGAGCCUCCACCUGUCCACCAUGAUCUCCCCCAAACUUAAUCCACACCUCUUCUUCAGGAAUUGUCCCAUCGUGAGUUGUGAGAAAUCCAUUCCUGUGGAAAGAUGAUGGAACAUGAACAUAUGGUCUGUGACUCUGCUAUGGACCUAGUGAAUCACUGUUGACUGUCCAUGGUUCAAGUGAGGAUUGGCAAACCUGGUCAUUUCUUGAUUACCUACAGAAUGCAAUUGCAACAUAUGCAAAAUCUUAUGCAGGAAUGGGGCUAUAGCAGUGAUGGGACACUACCUUUGACUGUGAAGAUCAGACGAUGCAAUUCCCGUUGGUCAGCCCCCCCCCCCACCCCAAGGAGCCAUGCACUGCCAGAGAUCUUGAGCCAGGUCUUCAGUGGUUAUCCAUUGAUAAGAAGAACGGAGAUAAUAAAGACAGUGAGGUAUCUUGUUGAUUUCGACGUGACCAUCUUCCUAACGCUUCUUCCAAACAAUGAACUGGAGGCUCUUUCCACGAAUGAAUGUUUAGCUGCUUCAAGUGUGAUUCCAGCUUUUUCAAGAGCUUCUUGUUGUUCUACUUCUACUGGCCUUUAUUGUAGUUAACAUGUCCUGUGAAUGUUUUUAGGAGCCCAGUUUUGCUACAAACACAGUAAACCUCAAGUUCACAUAUAGUUAAAAAACGGUCUACUUGUAACAUUAUCUAGGAAAAAGUUCUACAAAUUGGACAUGGUGAAACUUUUCAUUCAUUAUGUUUUCAGUAUUUACUGAGGUACUCACUACAAAAGGAAGUUGGGGUCAAAAGGUCAAGUUUUUGUUCAACUUGGUCACAUUCCUUUAUUUCUGCAUCAAUUAUGUUCACACUACAUCUGAUCCUUGGGUAAUACAUGUACUUUCAUUAGGAUAAUGGGUCAAAGGCCUGAUGUUAAUAAUCAACUGCCUAAUGUUAAUAAUCAACUGAAAAUUACUUAGUCAGAAAAGGUGGUUUAUUGGAUUCCCUAUCUUUUGCUUAUAAUUAUUUUUUUUUCAAAUUUAGUAUUUCUCCAUCAAAUCUGACAAAUUCAUUAUUUUUUUAUCAAUAAUUAUUAAACGAUGUCAAUAAUAAGAGUUUUGAGAAACAUGUGCAAGUAUAUGUACCAAUAUCCAUGUGCAGAAUAUUUGCUGCAAGGUUAAAUGCUACAGUGAAAUUUUAAAGUGCGCAACCAUAGGAUACGGGAAAAGAGUUCUUGCAGCCUUUGAUGUACUUAUAAAGAUCAAGAUAGAAUUCACCCAAAACAUCUAUUAGGUGUUAGUAGCUGAAAAUAUCCUAGAUUAGUUCAGAACUAUUCAUCUGGAAGAAGAGACAAGUCAAAGCAUUUUAAA
This 1688-nucleotide long non-coding RNA is filed under the name Lytechinus variegatus (green sea urchin). RNAcentral's name for it is "uncharacterized LOC121415751". The record is from RNAcentral. Lineage: Eukaryota; Metazoa; Echinodermata; Echinoidea; Temnopleuroida; Toxopneustidae.